GCGACCCCAGGUCAGGCAGG
Molecule: ribosomal RNA, 20 nt
Filed under: Laccosperma opacum
Lineage: Eukaryota; Viridiplantae; Streptophyta; Magnoliopsida; Arecales; Arecaceae
Description: partial 26S ribosomal RNA
Source: RNAcentral